CCUUGCAUGUUGACACAGCAAUAAUUUUUAAUGAGAAAUUUUUAGUAUUUGUGUGGGAGAAGUUAGCAUUGUGUACACAGAUGCCUCUCCGGCCACCGCGCUGCGGCUGGGCUCGGUGUGUCCCCCUCCGGCAUGGCCUGCAGGUCCCCAGGCAGAUUCCAUUCAGGCAAAGGGAAACAUUUAGGCUUGCUCACCUUUGAACUGCAUGCGAUGGUGUUUACCUUGGCAAGACAAAGUGGCAGUUUUACAGAUAUUAAAAACAGUCCUGAGGGGAAUCUGGAGGCCUUCCUAUAUUUUAAUCACCCGAUUUAGCCAGCCUGAGGAGUCUACUGGAGGCAAAACCUGUGGCAAAGUGACUCUCUCACAUUUAAGAACAGGAGAUAUAGCAGAAAACAACGUGCUAAAGCAAGAAGGGAGAGAAAGAAUGUGUGCUUUAUUUUUGAUACUCUCCUCUCUGGUGGGAAUUUGCAUAUUAAUCUGUAGCACCUCUGCACUCCAUAUGCUUUCUCUCCCCUUGCUUCCUGUGGGGCUGGGCUCUACCUCAGCUGACCCCAACUCCCUGCAGCUGCCCUCAUCCUGGGGUUGGGCUCCUACCUGACCGGUGUGCGUUAGGCUUGGGUGAGGUGUUGGGCUUCACCUUCCUGCCUCUACUCAAUCCGGAUGGGGUCCCUCUUGAAUUUCCAUCAGACUCAAAGUUUCCCAUGCUGAAGGACAGAAGGUGAAUACACUGAUAUUUUCUGCCGGAGGAGAGCCUGCACUGCAGCAGAUCCACAGCUCCACAAUGCACAUGGCCAGAGUUAUUCUGAGAGGUAGAGCAAUAACUCUAAUGCAAGACAGGAGACAUAACAAGUAAGUGGAAAUUUUCACAUAAAAGAAAAUAUCUGAGACUACAACAGAUAUUAAUGAACUGAGAAAACAGACAGAUGUACGUUAGGGAUUUGACUGAUACCUGGGAGCGUACUUUAUCUUAUUUUGUUCGUAUUUUUACAUCUGGCACUUUCACCAUAUUAAUGAUUUAAGGAAUAAUUAUUGUAAGGUUGAGUUUCCUUUUAAAAACUUUC
Long non-coding RNA from Gallus gallus (chicken), 1061 nucleotides. The record is from Ensembl. Lineage: Eukaryota; Metazoa; Chordata; Aves; Galliformes; Phasianidae.